UACGUAGGGGGCAAGCGUUGUCCGGAUUUCUUGGGCGUAAAGAGCGUGUAGGCGGCUUUACAGGUCCGUUGUGAAAACUCGAGGCUCAACCUCGAGACGCCGGUGGAAACCGUAAAGCUAGAGUCCGGAAGAGGAGAGUGGAAUUCCUGGUGUAGCGGUGAAAUGCGCAGAUAUCAGGAAGAACACCCGUGGCGAAGGCGGCUCUCUGGGACGGUACUGACGCUGAGAUGCGAAAGCGUGGGGAGCGAACAGG
Molecule: ribosomal RNA, 253 nt
Filed under: uncultured bacterium
Lineage: Bacteria
Description: partial 16S ribosomal RNA
Rfam family: Bacterial small subunit ribosomal RNA
Source: RNAcentral